UGGGGAAUUUUACACAAUGGGGGAAACCCUGAUGUAGCGACACCGCGUGAGCGAAGAAGCCCUUUGGGGUGUAAAGCUCUGUCAGCAGGGACGAAAAAGUGACGGUACCUGCAGAGGAAGCAUCGGCUAACUACGUGCCAGCAGCCGCGGUAAGACGUAGGAUGCGAGCGUUGUCCGGAUUUAUUGGGCGUAAAGGGUUCGUAGGUGGUUUCAUAAGUCUGGUGUAAAAGGCGCGGGCUCAACCCGUGUUGUGCAUUGGAUACUGUGAGACUGGAGUGCAGUAGAGGCAAGCGGAAUUCCCAGUGUAGCGGUGAAAUGCGUAGAUAUUGGGAAGAACACCGGUGGCGCAAGCGGCUUGCUGGGCUGUAACUGACACUGAGGAACGAAAGCUAGGGGAGCGAAUG
This 404-nucleotide ribosomal RNA is filed under the name uncultured bacterium. RNAcentral's name for it is "partial 16S ribosomal RNA". It matches the Rfam family "Bacterial small subunit ribosomal RNA", at positions 355 to 774 of the family's 1533-position model. The record is from RNAcentral.